Molecule: long non-coding RNA, 532 nt
Organism: Apus apus (common swift)
Lineage: Eukaryota; Metazoa; Chordata; Aves; Apodiformes; Apodidae
Exons: 2
Source: RefSeq, a predicted model, not a curated record
CUUGGAAAGCUGUGCAUCUGCAAAAUGCUUGAACAACAAAUCUGAGCUCUCAAUGUGACAAGAGAGGCAUGAGAAGAUGACCAGAGUGGUAACUCAACAAGAGACAGACACCUCUGCUUUGCCAUCUGCACCACUUCACCACCAGUCCCCAGAUGAGUGUCACACACAGCUUCCAGAGCUACUAUGCUCUGGCAUCAGCCACCUGGAGUUGAUCCCUCCUCAGUCCUGUGAGCUACUGCCACGACUCUGAUCAGCCACUUUGCCUGCACGCUGGGUACAGAAGAGCAGCCUUCCAGCCAGGAACACGAUGAGGACUUUGUACUUUGGACUCUUUAUCUCCCUCUGGUAUGAAAUACAAAUCUUUAACACGAAGCAAGGUCCACCUCACUGAUUAAGGCUCUCAGAGAAGAGUAAAACACAGGUCCAUUACAAAUUCUUUUCAGUUGUGAAGUAGGAAAGGCAGGCUUUCUCUACUAUCUUGGCAUCAUCUUGUAUCUGUUUACUGAUGAAAAAUAAAAAGGGCCUUUCCUAA